RNAcentral lists this transfer RNA (69 nucleotides) under Sphaerodactylus townsendi. Its description in RNAcentral is "tRNA-Ala". It matches the Rfam family "tRNA". From Rfam's summary of the family: Transfer RNA (tRNA) molecules are approximately 80 nucleotides in length. Their secondary structure includes four short double-helical elements and three loops (D, anti-codon, and T loops). The record is from RNAcentral. Lineage: Eukaryota; Metazoa; Chordata; Lepidosauria; Squamata; Sphaerodactylidae.
GCUGUGGCUCAGUGGUAGAGCAUCUGCUUGGCAUGCAGAAGCUGCCAGGUUCUAUCCCUAGCAUCUCCU